GCAAUGCAGGACCAAGCAUGCUCAGUGCAAAAGCUUGUCUCCUUUGCCUGUCAAGCCCUGUGUUUGAACUCAUUCCAGAAUACUGGAUUUACUUUUCACAAGGAAAGAAUACCUGACUGGAUUGCAUUUUUUCCUUCUUUCUUCUCUCUUGUAACCAGAAGAUUGGAAACAGUAUUCUUUUAUGAUCAGUUCAGUGUCAGUAAUACAAUGUGCUUGAAUGCAAAUAUGACUAUUCCAAUGGAGAAAGAAGAGGAAACUUUGCUACCUGUGAAGUGAAGACUUCUUCUUAGGUUGCAGUGGCGAUAAAGGCAAUUACAUUUACAGUGUUGUCCGCAGAUAUCAUAAAAAGCCUUUUGCUGUAAGACCUACACCUGAGUGGGAAGCAUGAAUUUUGGGGAGAAUUUUGAAGGCAAAGAUGGACAUUUGAUGCAAG
This is a non-coding RNA of Caretta caretta (loggerhead turtle), 433 nucleotides long. NCBI's taxonomy places the organism in Eukaryota, Metazoa, Chordata, Testudines, Cheloniidae. The record is from RefSeq and is a predicted model, not a curated record.